GCUAUAAACCUAGCCCAACUAAACACGAAUACUUUUAACAAACUGACUUCUUUUAACAAACCAUUUUGAUAUUCUAGUAAAGGAGAUUGAAAAACCCGUUGGAGCUAUAACAACAGUACCGCAAGGGAACAGUGAAAUAACAAAUGAAAAUCUUAAGCAUUAAAAAGUAAAGAUUACCCCCUGUACCUUUUGCAUCAUGGUUUAACUAGUCCAAUCAAGCAAAACGUAUUUAAGUUUGACCCCCCGAAACUAAGUGAGCUACUUCAGGGCAGCUAAAAGAGCGAACCCGUCUCUGUAGCAAAAGAGUGGGACGACCCUCAAGUAGUGGUGACAGACCUAACGAACUUAGUGAUAGCUGGUUACUCAAGAAAUGGAUAUAAGUCCAACCUGAACCACGUGACCCCCAAGUUUACCAAAACAGCCCUCAUCUUUCAGCGUAAUUCAAAUAAGGUACAGCCUAUUUGAAACAGGACACAACCUAGACUAGCGGAUAAGACUAGCCUAAAGAACAAUCAAGUCGGCCUAAAAGCAGCCAUCUUUAAAAUUGCGUCAAAGCUUAAUUGUCAUCACGCCCAAUUACCUAAUUAUCAUCUUAAUCCCCAAUCAAUACUGAGUAAUUCUAUAACGCUAUAGAAAAUUUUAUGUUAAAACUAGUAACAAGAAGAAGACCCUUCUCUUAAAUGUUAGUGUUAAUCAGAGGGGACUAACCGCUGAUACUUAACAUUCUUGAACUUAAAGUAGCAACUAACCGAGAAAACCCUACCCAAAUCGAUGUCAACCUAACACAAGCACAUUUUAAGAAAGAUUAAAAGAAAAAGAAGGAACUCGGCAAAUGUUAACCCCGCCUGUUUACCAAAAACAUCGCCUCUUGAACCAAAUAAGAGGUCCAGCCUGCCCAGUGACUCUGUUCAACGGCCGCGGUAUCCUAACCGUGCGAAGGUAGCGUAAUCACUUGUUCUUUAAAUGAGGACUAGUAUGAAUGGCACCACGAAGGUUAUACUGUCUCCUUUUUUUAAUCAGUGAAACUAAUCUCCCCGUGAAGAAGCGGGGAUAAAACUAUAAGACGAGAAGACCCUAUGGAGCUUUAAACAACAUAGCACUUACCUCACAACACAAAUUCUUAAAUUAAACUCCUUAGGUAACAUGACUACAAGUUUUUGGUUGGGGUGACCACGGAGCAUAAUAUAACCUCCACGUUGAAGAAAUUCUAUUUUAAGCUAAGACUCACUUAUCCAAGCAUCAAUAUCUUGACAUCCAUUGACCCAAUACUUUUGAGCAACGAACCAAGUUACCCUGGGGAUAACAGCGCAAUCCACUUUAAGAGCCCCUAUCGACAAGUGGGUUUACGACCUCGAUGUUGGAUCAGGGUCUCCAAGUGGUGCAGCCGCUACUA
RNAcentral lists this ribosomal RNA (1393 nucleotides) under Ansonia platysoma (Luidan stream toad). RNAcentral's name for it is "partial 16S ribosomal RNA". It matches the Rfam family "Bacterial large subunit ribosomal RNA", at positions 23 to 2567 of the family's 2925-position model. The record is from RNAcentral. Lineage: Eukaryota; Metazoa; Chordata; Amphibia; Anura; Bufonidae.